ACAUUUUACCCACUGGUCACAAGCCACUGUCCAUUUGAAUUGACUUAUUUUUAGGUGUUUUUAAGUCAAAAUAAUUUUUAAUAAGUUUUGAAUUGUUUGGAUAAAUCUAAAAAAGUAUUUAUACACACUUAUUUUAUAGUCAAAAUAACAAAAAUAAGCAAGUGUCAUAAGUUAAAAAUCCUAACUUAUAGCUUUUGGCUUUUAAGUUAUAAGCCCAAAGUCAAUCCAAACGGAUCCUAAACACUUUAAAGUCAUGCAGGCCGAAGCCCAGAGCGGGCUAUAUCAUUUGCGGAUUAGAAUGUCACAAAUGGUAUGUCACUCUUGUUUGCUUUGCAGUGGGGCAAACCUCAGUGUCGUAGUAAGCAUAUCUUAUCCACUAGUGAUACAUUUUAAAGUUGAGUGUGUAUAGGUUCGAAGCGAACAAUAUUACCAGCGGAUUAGGCCGUUACAAUUUUGCUCUUCAAAUGAAUCGUAAUUUAAAUUUUAUUCUUCAAAAAGAAAGGUCUUUAAUCUCUAUCUUCAGAAUUCAAAGUUAUGUAUGAAAGAGAAUAAAUUCUUGAAGGACGCAUUAUUUAAAAAUAUAAUUAUGAUGCAUAAGUUCAGCAACCUAUUCAACUGGUUGGAUUUUUUCCCUUUCAUCCUUUGGAGUUUAUGGAAAAAAAUACAAUCAUAAUAUUUUUAGCAACAAAAACUCAUCCCUAUCACCUGCCCUGGUGAAUAAUAAAAUGAUUGAAUACCGACGUUAUACUUAUCAAGCGCAAGAUCCUCAAUCUUCCUACCUCGUUAGAAUUAGGUGGUCCCUCCCCUCCCCCAGGUUGGGGAAUCCACUGGUCAGGCAGCUUCCGACAAGCAAAUAAGGUGGCAAACUUUUUGUCAAAACUAGGUACCAAGCUAACACCAUCCAAUCAAGCUACUAUAUUACCUGCUCCUCCAGACCAUAUUGUAUCUCUUGUCAAGGAUGAUCAACGAGGGGCGAUAUAUACUAAACUAGUUUUAAGGAUCACUUGUAAUAAUAUGUUAACAUGUUUUGGUAAUGUAAUAGUACUAGCCAACUAUGGCAACAACAUAGAGGCAGAGAUGCCUCAAAACUUGGUAAAUCCCUAGUUUAUAUAAAAUAUGUAUAUAAUCUUGUCAUCCAAAAAAAAUAUUCAU
Molecule: non-coding RNA, 1152 nt
Organism: Solanum lycopersicum (tomato)
Lineage: Eukaryota; Viridiplantae; Streptophyta; Magnoliopsida; Solanales; Solanaceae
Source: RefSeq, a predicted model, not a curated record